Molecule: long non-coding RNA, 2938 nt
Filed under: Strigops habroptila (Kakapo)
Lineage: Eukaryota; Metazoa; Chordata; Aves; Psittaciformes; Psittacidae
Description: lncRNA (ENSSHBG00005012670.1)
Source: RNAcentral
GGGGGUAAUUUAUGCACGCAGUCGAUGGGAGCCGAGUUGGCUUGACGUGGUCCCGCGUUCCCUGGCUGAGGAAGAGGAGGGACCCGGUAUCGGGUGCUGUUAACGUGAGGCUUUCACUAUUGGUGCCCUGAAUGUGUUUCUGACCCUGUGCACACCAACAAGGAAAUCCAGCCCUUCCUCUCCAGGUAAGAACAUUCUCUCCAGUUAAAAGAUGUUGGUGAUGAACUCAAGAACAAGGGUCUACCCUGUCCAGGGGGGUUGUAACUGGAUGGGCUUUAACGUCCCUUCCAUUCCAAACCAGUCUGUGAUUCUAUGUCUUAACAAGGCAGCUGUGAUCUCGUAUGCUGAGCUGUACCUGUGUAGCAGGGCAAAGAGUAACCCAAAUGUCCAAAUCUAUACAUAAAGGCUGUGUAUUGGAAAUGGACUGGCCCUAAAAGCAUCUCAAAACCCUGUCUGGAACACCAAACAGGGGCUGGGACACAGCACUGUGUUUUUCUGCUUCUGAGCUUUAAGGUUAUGGCCUUGUUUGAAAAAGAAGUGUAAAAAGAAUUGUAUCAUAGAAUCUCAGACUGGUUUGGGUUGGAAGGACCUUAAAGCUCAUCCAGCUCCAACCCCCUGCCACAGGCAGGGACACCUUUUACUAGAGCAGGUUGCUCCAAGUCCCAUCCAACCUGGCCUUGAAUGUGGGAUGGGGCAGCCACAGCUUCUCUGAGCAGCCACUCAGUGCCUAGUUUGGAGCACCUGCGGUGUGGUCCUUACCCCAAAAUGCUCCAGAGGCUUUGGGUCAGUCCUUUUGUUGUCCCAAAAGUGGGAUCGUUCCCCAGUGUGCACAAGACCGAUGUACACACAGAGUCGAGGUCUUUCAUUAUCAGCUAUUUUGCUUGGUGGAAGCUCCCAAACCUGCACACUUUAGUUUUGUGUAUAUCAGGUUAUGUAAAUUCAGAGAGCAAAGAAAUUACUUUUCAUUGGUGCAAAGCUACCAAAUAUAUGAUUAAUUAGUACUCUGAAACAGCUUGAAUUCCCUGAAGGGAAUGUGCUAUAUAAAUACACAAGAAUCCCAUUUCCAGCCCUUCUUCAUGGUGUGGUUGGUGGAGGUUCUGCAAGACACAGACAUCAGAAUAAAUGUGACCCUCUUAAAGACAGCUGAUGAUACAAAGGUCAAAAGAAGAGUGAUUGAUGAGGAGAAAAGUACAUGUUAAUAUUUCUCCAAGAGGAAAAGAAUUACAUAUAAUGGGUGUACUACUCAAGAAGAGCUUGCACAUCCUGUGAGUGAUGCCAGCAUUUUAAAGGCACUUAAGCCUUGAAUUUCCCCUUGAUAAAAGUUAUGUCACGUCACUCGCACCCAGUGAUUGGGUUUAUGGGCAAAGUGUCAUGCAAACAUAUCUGAAGGAGAGAACGAAUGCCAGCACAAACAGCAGUGCUGCAGGAGCUGCAGCUCCAUGCCCAGGGCUUGCAGCUCUGAGGGUGAUGGCCCUUGCUGUAGGUUCCUCCUGAAGGUGUGCUGGGUGGAAGGAUUGUGCCUGCUGUUGGUUGUUUUCCGACCCCCCCCCAAUUCCCCUCUGCUCCUCCUUAGGCAGUGAGCAGCUGGUUUUGAUCAUUAGCAACAGCAUCACACCCUCAGCUUGGCCAGGUCCAAGGGUGGGAUCCUUGGGAAGGGUGGGACCUCUUUGAGUUUGCCUUUUGUCCAAGCUCAGGAUUUUUGUGUCAAAGCCCUGUAUUGCAAAAUGAGGAAGUAAGGACUGCUACAAAUGCAGUGCUUGAGGCAGGGAAGGGCGCAGGGUGAAGCAAUGUGAUGGAACACCAAGCAGAUUCUCUAGUUGAGCAGGGUUGGAGCAUCAGAAACUCCCUGAUUGAUUGGUGUCUAAACUGGGUGCAUAAAAACAUAUCAUGGUGAUAAUCAAAGUGAUAAACUUUGUGCUUCUCUAUCUCCAUGAAAUAAUUGUUCUGCCUGAGCAUCAUUAUCCUGCCAUUUCUCUGCUCCUGUGUCACUUACUGAAAAUAAAGGCUCACUUCUUCCGUUAUAAUGAGCUACAGCUUCAGUAAUUCACAGAGAUUUUUACUGGGCUUUAUUUUUUAAUCUUCAUCCCAGGGUUAUAAAACUUGUGCCACUUUUCUAAGGGUUAGUGAAGUAUCAGCAGAAGGAGAAGGCAAGGAUGGAUUUGCUACAGUUCAUUUAGUGGGAUUUUACUGUGCUAUAUUGCAACUAAUGUAUUAUUAUUGUUAUUAUUACUACUAUAUUUUCCCCAGUAGCUGCUAAUGGGGCAAGACUGGGAGGACAGUAUGGACCUGGCUGGGGAUGGAAUUUGGGCCACACAGAUACCAUCCAAGCUGUCGGUUUAGAGACAACACUUUCUAUUCCCAAUGACUUUGUUUUCUCUGGAGGAGUUUCUGAAGAAGCGUCAUCUUUGAACAAUUAUUCCAGGCUUAAGAGUUGUCUCUCUCCUUCUAUUGUUUCUUACUGAUUUUGAUGUAUGAUACUUCCAUAUAUGCUCUGUAUAUACAAAUUUAAUUUUCCAUAUACAAAGUUCUGUCUGCCUUCAGGGAAAGGAUAUGGGAUUUUUGUGUCAUUAAUCUGGUAGCAUCUUGAAUUAUGGUGCUAUUUCUAAAAGCUUUCUUCAUAUGUAUGAAAUGAUUAUUUGGCAGAGCAGCGUUCAAUAUUGAUGGAAUAGUGAUUUUGCUUGUUUAAUACAUCAAUUUAAGCUGUUAUCUUCGCUUCUUUGAAAUGCUAGAUAAUUACAUAAAUAAUUAUGAAACAUUCUAUCAAUGCAUCUUCGUGCAAAGUAUUGCUGCUGAUCUUUUAUAGUCAUGGAACUAAAUAUUGCAUUUGGGAAAGGAAGAGGGAGCCCAUGGCACCAUGCUGAGUAGGUUGUUUCCUGUAUGCAUGUACCUGAAUACCAGGCAAUUCAAACAUCAGAUCAAGAAAUAAACUGUCGCCACC